GGAGAGGUGUCCGAGUGGUCGAAGGUGCAUGAUUGGAAAUCAUGUGUAGCGAAAGUUACCGAGGGUUCGAAUCCCUCCCUCUCCG
This 85-nucleotide transfer RNA is filed under the name Myxococcales bacterium. RNAcentral describes it as "tRNA-Ser". It matches the Rfam family "tRNA". From Rfam's summary of the family: Transfer RNA (tRNA) molecules are approximately 80 nucleotides in length. Lineage: Bacteria; Pseudomonadati; Myxococcota; Myxococcia; Myxococcales. The record is from RNAcentral.